UAACAGAUAUUUCAAAUGGUAAUCUAUUCUUUAUAUCAUGUAUGUUGGUAUUUUAAACUGUGAAUUUUUUUUUUUAUUCAGUCGAAAUUAUCUCAUAAAUUUUAUAUUCAGUUUUAGGAUCUUCUAUCCCUCAUGCUCAUGGUCAAAAUAAUGAUUCCUCGACGGCAAAAAGAAAGUAUACCGCAUCUACAAGUAGACCGAGGAAAAACAAAGUUUCAGCAGGUUUCGAAUGUGCUUACUUUAUGCGUUUAUUAGAUGUUAUUAACAUAUAUUAGUAUGUUAAUAAUUAUUUUAAGACUUUUUUAUAGGAGAAAAUGUUUGUCCAAAUGCAAACAGUCCCACAGAGAUUGUUAUUCCGAGACUCACAAAUGAACGCAGACCAGAUCCUAACACAAGUUCUCCAGUUUCAACCGCUGCGCCAUUGACAUAUAUUUCAAAUGGUAAUUUAUUCUGUACAUAUCUAGAUAUUUUUUAUUGUGAAAUAUAUAUAUAUUUUUAUAUUCAGCCAAAAUUACCUUAAUAGUUUCAUAUUCAGUUUUAGGAUCUUCUAUCGCUCAUGCUCAUGGUCAAAAUAACGAUUCCUCAACGGCAAAAAGAAAGUAUACCGCAUCUACAAGCAGACCGAGGAAAAAGAAAGUUUCAGCAGGUUUCGAAUGUGCUUACUUUAUGUGUUUAUUAGAUGCUAUUAACAUAUAUUGCUAUGUUUAAAAUUAUUUUUAAGACUUUUUGAUAUAUGGUCAUUUUAAUUAAUCUUAAAA
Molecule: long non-coding RNA, 758 nt
Filed under: Trifolium pratense (red clover)
Lineage: Eukaryota; Viridiplantae; Streptophyta; Magnoliopsida; Fabales; Fabaceae
Description: long non-coding RNA (TPRA_LNC006477)
Source: RNAcentral